GGACACUCUUCACGUUCUAAAAAACUUUAGGUGUUUGGAGUGUUCCUUUAAUAUUGUAUAUGUAAAGAGUAUCACCAGUAGUAUACAAUCCCUUCAUUUUAUAAAGGUUACAUUACUGUUGUGUUUUAUACCCCACCUCCAAUAGACUGUAAGCUCGUUUGACCGAUUAUUCCUGUAAGUUUUCUUGUAAUUGUCCUAUUUAUAGUUAAAUCCCC
This is a non-coding RNA of Pelobates cultripes (western spadefoot toad), 215 nucleotides long. The record is from the annotation of a GenBank genome assembly. Lineage: Eukaryota; Metazoa; Chordata; Amphibia; Anura; Pelobatidae.